Molecule: ribosomal RNA, 492 nt
Filed under: uncultured bacterium
Lineage: Bacteria
Description: partial 16S ribosomal RNA
Rfam family: Bacterial small subunit ribosomal RNA
Source: RNAcentral
AGUGAACGCUGGCGGUAGGCCUAACACAUGCAAGUCGAACGGCAGCACAGUAAGAGCUUGCUCUUACGGGUGGCGAGUGGCGGACGGGUGAGGAAUACAUCGGAAUCUACUUUUUCGUGGGGGAUAACGUAGGGAAACUUACGCUAAUACCGCAUACGACCUACGGGUGAAAGCAGGGGAUCUUCGGACCUUGCGCGAUUGAAUGAGCCGCUGUCGGAUUAGCUAGUUGGCGGGGUAAAGGCCCACCAAGGCGACGAUCCGUAGCUGGUCGGAGAGGAUGAUCAGCCACACUGGAACUGAAACACGGUCCAGACUCCUACGUGAGGCAGCAGUGGGGAAUAUUGGACAAUGGGCGCAAGCCUGAUCCAGCCAGACCGCGUGGGUGAAGAAGGCCUUCGGGUUGUAAAGCCCUUUUGUUGGGAAAGAAAAGCAGCAGGUUAAUACCCCGCUGUUCUGACGGUACCCAAAGAAUAAGCACCGGCUAACUUCGUG